GGGUGGUAAUGCCGGAUGUUCCACAUGAUCGCAUGUGAUUGUGGGAAAGAUUCUAUCGGCGUGGGAUGGGGUCGCGUCCUAUCAGCUUGUUGGUGAGGUAACGGCUCACCAAGGCUUCGACGGGUAGCCGGCCUGAGAGGGCGACCGGCCACAUUGGGACUGAGAUACGGCCCAGACUCCUACGGGAGGCAGCAGUGGGGAAUAUUGCACAAUGGGCGCAAGCCUGAUGCAGCGACGCCGCGUGAGGGAUGGAGGCCUUCGGGUUGUAAACCUCUUUUGUUUGGGAGCAAGCCUUCGGGUGAGUGUACCUUUCGAAUAAGCGCCGGCUAACUACGUGCCAGCAGCCGCGGUAAUACGUAGGGCGCAAGCGUUAUCCGGAUUUAUUGGGCGUAAAGGGCUCGUAGGCGGCUCGUCGCGUCCGGUGUGAAAGUCCAUCGCUUAACGGUGGAUCUGCGCCGGGUACGGGCGGGCUGGAGUGCGGUAGGGGAGACUGGAAUUCCCGGUGUAACGGUGGAAUGUGUAGAUAUCGGAAAAGAACA
This 539-nucleotide ribosomal RNA is filed under the name Bifidobacterium bifidum. Its description in RNAcentral is "bacterial SSU rRNA". It matches the Rfam family "Bacterial small subunit ribosomal RNA", at positions 158 to 708 of the family's 1533-position model. Lineage: Bacteria; Bacillati; Actinomycetota; Actinomycetes; Bifidobacteriales; Bifidobacteriaceae. The record is from RNAcentral.